Molecule: long non-coding RNA, 1808 nt
Organism: Sceloporus undulatus (fence lizard)
Lineage: Eukaryota; Metazoa; Chordata; Lepidosauria; Squamata; Phrynosomatidae
Exons: 3
Source: RefSeq, a predicted model, not a curated record
ACCAGGCUGCCUUGCCCUCAGUUUCACAUUUAUUCUAAUAAAUACAGUGAAUGAUCCAUUGGAGAAGUUUGCGCAAUUGAUCCAAAAUGAAAUAGAGCUGAAAUUAAAUUUAAACCAGAGUUUAGAAGAUGGAGGCAAAGAUGUCGGUCCCAUUGCUUUCAAAGGAGAGAUGUGCUUUUCGGGGCAAAGACCCUUUCCCAACCGCAGCCUCCAGGAAAGGAUCCCUCUCCAUUUUUCAGGAUGGAGCUGGGCCUCUCCAUCUCCGCACCAGACGCUUACCCCUCUCCCCCCCCCCUCUCUCCCUCCUUCUCUCUCUCUCCCUCCUUCUCUCUCUCUGUCAACCACGUUUCCACCUUUCUUCUGAAUAUCUGCAAUAGGGGAGAUGGAGUCAUUUGAAAAAUUGCACGUGAAACCCUUUGCGGCUUUUCUGUUCAUUAAUCCGAAGCCCGGUCCGAGCUGCAGAGUCUCACACAAAGCAGAUUUGGAGGACCACAGGCCCCUUGUUCCAUCUUUGCUAUUGGUCUGGAGUGUGAUUUCUGAAGUUCAAACCCUGGGUAGGCAAGGCUGCAUCUUUCAAUAAGCUAUCGAAGAUGAGCAUACAACCUGCAGGGUGGACAUCCAUUUUGAGAAAGACGGGUGGUCUUCCAAAUCCCCCGUUUGCAAAGAGAUUCAUUCCUUUCUGCAGCCAUUUGCCAGAGGAGCCGGGGCUUCCUUGGGCCUGUCUUAUGCUCAGCCUUCUGGGCGCCAAAGGAAGCCCUUCUGCUGAAACCAGGCCUUCUUCCCUGGACAGUUCUCCAGAAAGAUUUUGCAGACGGAGGUUUGGUGGUGAGGAAGGCCAGGCCCAUUGUGACUUCGCCAGGAUCUACUUGCACCUGGCAGGGCCUGAGGUUAAUGUAUGGCUAUUUUAUGUUCCAGCGUCCAGCGGUGUUGGGUUCAGACGUCCCUUUGUGCAGUCUACACACAGGUCCCCUCCUCUCCCAAAGGAUGCUGCCCUUUUCCACUGAGCGUGGGUGAUGGGAGAGGCAGUCCUUCCAGACAGAGCAGCGGCUUGCAAGGAGGCCAGGAAGGCGCAUGGGCUUUGGGCUGUUGGUGGGCCAGGCUAAAAGGACAAGGAAAGGAAGGGCAGCAGAUCUCCAGAAGGACUGGCUGGAGGUGCCCUCAGAAGGGCCAUUCCUUCUCUCAGAAAGAAGAUGCAACGUGUGCCUCGGGAUGCUGAAGCCAGGACACCAAAAUGCCAAAGAGGUGUCCUUGCUGUAAAUGCCUUCUGCUGUCUGGAGCUGUGUUUUCUGGCCAUCCUCUUCCAUACAGAAGACCUCUAGAGCAUGCAGAUCUGAACCUGUUAAAUUGGAUUAGCAAAGAUGCCAAGCAAACACCCGAAUCCUGGCUGCAUUUUGAAAAACAAUGAAUAAUAGCCAUUGAGUAUGCCACUGCCACAACUCCAAGAGAAGCAUGGCCUUUCUGGCAGUGACCCAGUCUGAACAUGAAGCCCUUCUAUAGAAACGUUCUGCACGACGGAUAUGGCAACACAUCAUCAUAAAACCAGAGGGAGAAAAUGGCACCGGGGUGCUUCCUACCUGUUGAUGUUCCUCAGAGGCCUUCAAGUCCUCUCCAGGCUCUUUCUUUCCAUGCAGCUUUAAGAUCCAACGGCGUGCAAGCGGGGCCCAAAUGCCCAGGCGCGCAUGAAAGGGUUGCUUCUGCAGGUUGGCUCUUUGGUGAGUUUCUAGGGGAGUGUUCCAGAGGAGCUGGUUUGCUGCUUCAAAGCAUCUUCAAUGCUGGUAAAGGCUAAUAAACUAAAGACAAAUAAACUG